Molecule: ribosomal RNA, 465 nt
Filed under: Vreelandella stevensii
Lineage: Bacteria; Pseudomonadati; Pseudomonadota; Gammaproteobacteria; Oceanospirillales; Halomonadaceae
Description: partial 16S ribosomal RNA
Rfam family: Bacterial small subunit ribosomal RNA
Source: RNAcentral
CCUACGGGUGGCAGCAGUGGGGAAUAUUGGACAAUGGGGGGAACCCUGAUCCAGCCAUGCCGCGUGUGUGAAGAAGGCCCUCGGGUUGUAAAGCACUUUCAGUGAGGAAGAACGCCUGGUGGUUAAUACCUAUCAGGAAAGACAUCACUCACAGAAGAAGCACCGGCUAACUCCGUGCCAGCAGCCGCGGUAAUACGGAGGGUGCGAGCGUUAAUCGGAAUUACUGGGCGUAAAGCGCGCGUAGGUGGCUUGAUAAGCCGGUUGUGAAAGCCCCGGGCUCAACCUGGGAACGGCAUCCGGAACUGUCAAGCUAGAGUGCAGGAGAGGAAGGUAGAAUUCCCGGUGUAGCGGUGAAAUGCGUAGAGAUCGGGAGGAAUACCAGUGGCGAAGGCGGCCUUCUGGACUGACACUGACACUGAGGUGCGAAAGCGUGGGUAGCAAACAGGAUUAGAUACCCCGGUAGUC